Long non-coding RNA from Schistocerca gregaria, 1030 nucleotides. RefSeq lists it as uncharacterized. The record is from RefSeq and is a predicted model, not a curated record. Lineage: Eukaryota; Metazoa; Arthropoda; Insecta; Orthoptera; Acrididae. The transcript has 2 exons.
CCGACGAUUGGAGUGGGCAGCUGAAACAACACCUCGCCUUCUUGCCGCUGCUCUGAGGUGGGAAUCUGUGAGAAGCCUGUUGCGCGAACAGCUCUUCCUUGUAUCUCAGUCGCUUGGAAAGCAGGUGUGGCGCGACCCUGGGUUUUCAACAGAGCGCUUACAAGGACCUGUUGGAAGGAGAUAGUUUCGGGUCCUCCCGGCGUUGCUGGACACUGGUUGUGUCAACUGAGUGCAGUGAACAUGUUCAGCGGUGUGUCUGAAGAUAGAGGUCCAAAACUGUGGAUACCAUCUGGAGAAACUCAGCUUUCUAGUUUUGUUCGUAAUAGUGCUUUUUGUUAAAACAUUACGCUGUUCCUGGGUUGGUAGCGAGAGCUCGCACUACAGGAGGUCCUAUCUGUGUGUCCACGAAGCUCUAGACACCCCAGGAUGGUGUUACGAAGAACUGUUCGCUGUGGGCUACUGACGCUCGCCCCCCCUCCCUCUAGAGGCCAUCUGCAAAAUGGCUCUAAGGCUUGCGGCUCAUUCUUAUUGUCCCUGCACCACCCAGAAAGCUCACCUCUACAAGGAAUGCAGAUUCGACACUGGAAACUAUUUUAAGAACGUAUAAAUAUCCUUUGGCUAUACCAUAUAAAGUGGAGUCUCUUAAGCUAAAGCAGUUGCACUAAAAGAAGAGUUGCUUGGGAUAUUGCUGCAGCUUCGUGUAGGUGAUUAUUACGCUAUGUACCCCGAUUUAACGCAAAAUUUAGCAGAAAUUUUUAAUAUUGGAAGUGUGUACCUGCCUAAUGCCAAAUCGACAUAUUUGUUGAAGUAGACUAUCAAGGAAACAGCAAUAUGAACGUAAAUAACGAAAAGUCGGUUGGAGUAGACUGUUGAACAUGGAUGAGAUCCACUUACAAAGAUCCUCGUUGUCCAGGAAUGAACGAAGAUAAGUUUUCACGCUGACGCUCUUUCAGAAUUCCCAUACAUGAGUUUACAAGAAACUUAUACGCCCUACUAGAGUACAUAUACAACACGGUAUUAACAGACUGGA